RNAcentral lists this ribosomal RNA (434 nucleotides) under uncultured bacterium. RNAcentral describes it as "partial 16S ribosomal RNA". It matches the Rfam family "Bacterial small subunit ribosomal RNA", at positions 29 to 507 of the family's 1533-position model. The record is from RNAcentral.
AGCGAACGCUGGCGGCAGGCCUAACACAUGCAAGUCGAACGAACCUUUCGGGGUUAUUGGCGGACGGGUGAGUAACACGUGGGAACGUGCCUUUAGGUUCGGAAUAACUCAGGGAAACUUGUGCUAAUACCGAAUGUGCCCUUCGGGGGAAAGAUUAAUCGCCUUUAGAGCGGCCCGCGUCUGAUUAGCUAGUUGGUUGAGGUAAUGGCUCACCAAGGCGACGAUCAGUAGCUGGUCUGAGAGGAUGAUCAGCCACAUUGGGACUGAGACACGGCCCAAACUCCUACGGGAGGCAGCAGUGGGGAAUCUUGCGAAAUGGGCGAAAGCAUGACGCAGCCAUGCCGCGUGAAUGAUGAAGGUCUUAGGAUUGUAAAAUUCUUUCACCGGGGACGAUAAUGACGGUACCCGGAGAAGAAGCCCCGGCUAACUUCGUG